RNAcentral lists this ribosomal RNA (472 nucleotides) under Fundulopanchax sjostedti. RNAcentral describes it as "partial 16S ribosomal RNA". It matches the Rfam family "Bacterial large subunit ribosomal RNA", at positions 1923 to 2551 of the family's 2925-position model. Lineage: Eukaryota; Metazoa; Chordata; Actinopteri; Cyprinodontiformes; Nothobranchiidae. The record is from RNAcentral.
UUUAACGGCCGCGGUAUUUUGACCGUGCGAAGGUAGCGUAAUCACUUGUCUUUUAAAUAGAGACCUGUAUGAAUGGCAUAACGAGGGCUUAACUGUCUCCUUUAUCCUAUCAAUGAAAUUGAUCUCCUCGUGCAGAAGCGAGGAUAACAACAUAAGACGAGAAGACCCUAUGGAUCUUUAGUCGCAAGAACAGAACAUGUACAUUCUAAUAAUUAAAUAAUGAAAAUUAUUGAACCCUGUUCCAGUGACUUUGGUUGGGGCGACCACGGAGUAAAAUAAAACCGCCAAGAGGAAUGAAGAUAUUUCUUCCUACUCAAGGAUGACAAUCCUAAAGAUCAGAACUUCUGACCACAUGACGCCGGCAAAGCCGAUCAACGAACCGAGUUACCCUAGGGAUAACAGCGCAAUCCGCUUUUAGAGCCAUAUCGACAAGAGGGUUUACGACCUCGAUGUUGGAUCAGGACAUCCUAAU